UUUAUAAAUUCUUGCAGUGCUUCUCAUGUGAUUUUUUUUCUUUUUUACAGAACAGGAAAUAACCACUUGGCCCUGUUUCUGGUGGUUUUGCCUGUACCAGCAUGUCCUAUGCAAAUACAACCCAUGACAAACCUCAGAAUGUCAGGGGAAGAUGAAUGGCCUUGAAUAUUUUGAACAAUAUAAGGUCCGAAGAUCCAGACUGAUGAAAAGCCCAAAGCUGGUUGCGGACAGUCACCACUGGAUUCCCCUACAGAAGGCUGCAAACACAGCUGUGGAUUUUUACUAAAGUUACAAAGGGACAUGGAUGAAACUGGAAAGAAUAAUCCUCAGCAAACUAACACAGGAACAGAAAGCUAAACACCACAUGCUCUCAAUGGUACCAAGUCAAUCAAAGUGAAAUGGAGGGAAAACACUUCUGAAGAUUCAUCGGAGUUUAUCAACAAUGUCAGGUGCAUGCUUCUCAAAUAAAAACACAUGCCAAUGGAAAAACAAGCCAGCUACUAGGUUUGUAUAAAUGCAUCUAAUUUACAUCAUUUUAUAUAGAUGAUUCUACUCUUUUACACAGGUAUAUUUGACAAUUAGUACCAUCCCUUCCACAUACACACAAUUUAGCCAAAAUGACAUUCUGUAGGGGAUCUCUAUAAGCCCUCCAGUUGAUUCUUUUUCAGGCUAAAGUUUGAGAACUGUUGUGUUACUCUGGACUAAGCCUCUGAAAGUUUUGAUGACUUAAAUAUUUAUAUAUGUUAUGAAUGUAUAUGAAGGAUAUGAUUGCAUACUAUAGAUUACAAACAUUAUUACAUAGGCAAACUUCAUAGCAGAAAUAAAAAGAAAAUCCUAAGUGGAUUCUGCAUUGACUGACAAAGAAAACCUAUGCCAAUUUUUACAGAAUUCGUUUUUAUAAA
Callithrix jacchus (white-tufted-ear marmoset) is the source of this 902-nucleotide long non-coding RNA. RefSeq lists it as uncharacterized. The record is from RefSeq and is a predicted model, not a curated record. NCBI's taxonomy places the organism in Eukaryota, Metazoa, Chordata, Mammalia, Primates, Cebidae.